This 305-nucleotide ribosomal RNA is filed under the name uncultured bacterium. RNAcentral's name for it is "bacterial SSU rRNA". It matches the Rfam family "Bacterial small subunit ribosomal RNA", at positions 202 to 507 of the family's 1533-position model. The record is from RNAcentral.
UAAGGCCUCGCGCGAUUGGAGCGGCCGAUGGCAGAUUAGGUAGUUGGUGGGUAAAGGCUCACCAAGCCUGCGAUCUGUAGCUGGUCUGANAGGACGACCAGCCACACUGGAACUGAGACACGGUCCAGACUCCUACGGGAGGCAGCAUGGGGAAUUUUGGACAAUGGCGCAAGCCUGAUCCAGCCAUUCCGCGUGCAGGAUGAAGGCCUUCGGGUUGUAAACUGCUUUUGUACGGAACGAAAAGGUUUCCUUAAUACGGAGAGCUCAUGACGGUACCGUAAGAAUAAGCACCGGCUAACUACGUG